Molecule: ribosomal RNA, 129 nt
Filed under: uncultured bacterium
Lineage: Bacteria
Description: partial 16S ribosomal RNA
Rfam family: Bacterial small subunit ribosomal RNA
Source: RNAcentral
GGGCCCGCACAAGCGGUGGAGCAUGUGGUUUAAUUCGAUGCAACCCGAAAAACCUUACCUACUCUUGACAUCCUCGGAACCUUUCAGAAAUGAGAGGGUGCCUUCGGGAACCGAGAGACAGGUGCUGCA